CCUAGAGUUUCAGUGUCUGAACUCUGAAAUCCCUAUAACCUACUCUUGCCCUCAGUCAGACUGCUGUUCAAACUAAGACAAGUUCUAGUUAAGUUUGAGAUCAAGAUUUAACUAUUGAAGUCGACUGCAGGGCGCAGGCAACGACUGGCAACCGGAGAUCAGAAAUUCAGCUUGAUCAGACUAAAGUAUGCUUCAUGAUGAAAAACGAAAGACAUCAAAC
Molecule: long non-coding RNA, 220 nt
Organism: Bolinopsis microptera
Lineage: Eukaryota; Metazoa; Ctenophora; Tentaculata; Lobata; Bolinopsidae
Exons: 2
Source: RefSeq, a predicted model, not a curated record